UAACUUAGGGAGAAGGGGUGCCUACGAGAGUAGGCCGCAGUGAAUAGGCUCAAGCAACUGUUUAUCAAAAACACAGGUCUCUGCUAAAGCGUAAGCUGAUGUAUAGGGGCUGACGCCUGCCCGGUGCUGGAAGGUUAAGGGGAAUAGUUAGCGCAAGCGAAGCUAUGAACUUAAGCCCCAGUAAACGGCGGCCGUAACUAUAACGGUCCUAAGGUAGCGAAAUUCCUUGUCGGGUAAGUUCCGACCCGCACGAAUGGCGUAAUGAUUUGAGCACUGUCUCGGCAAUAAAUCCGGUGAAAUUGUAGUGCAAGUGAAGAUGCUUGCUACCCGCGGUUGGACGGAAAGACCCCGUAGAGCUUUACUGUAGCUUAGCAUUGAAUUUCGGUAUUGUCUGUACAGGAUAGGUGGGAGACUUAGAAGCGAGGGCGUCAGCUUUCGUGGAGUCGUCCUUGGGAUACCACCCUGACAGUACUGGAAUUCUAACUGGAGGCCAUGAAUCUGGUCACAGGACAUUGCUAGGUGGGCAGUUUGACUGGGGCGGUCGCCUCCUAAAAGGUAACGGAGGCGCCCAAAGGUUCCCUCAGCGCGGUCGGAAAUCGCGCGUAGAGUGCAAAGGCAGAAGGGAGCCUGACUGCGACACAUACAGGUGGAGCAGGGACGAAAGUCGGGCUUAGUGAUCCGGUGGUGCUGUAUGGAAGGGCCAUCGCUCAACGGAUAAAAGCUACCUCGGGGAUAACAGGCUGAUCUCCCCCAAGAGUCCACAUCGACGGGGAGGUUUGGCACCUCGAUGUCGGCUCGUCGCAUCCUGGGGCUGUAGUCGGUCCCAAGGGUUGGGCUG
RNAcentral lists this ribosomal RNA (838 nucleotides) under Clostridium botulinum C/D. Its description in RNAcentral is "partial 23S ribosomal RNA". It matches the Rfam family "Bacterial large subunit ribosomal RNA", at positions 1731 to 2579 of the family's 2925-position model. Lineage: Bacteria; Bacillati; Bacillota; Clostridia; Eubacteriales; Clostridiaceae. The record is from RNAcentral.